AAUCCUACGGGACGCAGCAGUGGGGAAUAUUGCACAAUGGGGGAAACCCUGAUGCAGCGACGCCGCGUGAGUGAAGAAGUAUCUCGGUACGUGAAGCUCUAUCAGCAGGGAAGAAAAUGACGGUACCUGACUAAGAAGCCCCGGCUAACUACGUGCCAGCAGCCGCGGUGAUACGUAGGGGGCAAGCGUUAUCCGGAUUUACUGGGUGUAAAGGGAGCGUAGACGGCAGCGCAAGGCUGGAGUGAAAUGCCGGGGCCCAACCCCGGAACUGCUUUGGAAACUGUGCAGCGCGAGUGCUG
This 299-nucleotide ribosomal RNA is filed under the name uncultured bacterium. Its description in RNAcentral is "partial 16S ribosomal RNA". It matches the Rfam family "Bacterial small subunit ribosomal RNA", at positions 335 to 651 of the family's 1533-position model. The record is from RNAcentral.